Long non-coding RNA from Physeter macrocephalus (sperm whale), 908 nucleotides. RefSeq lists it as uncharacterized. The transcript is spliced from 3 exons. NCBI's taxonomy places the organism in Eukaryota, Metazoa, Chordata, Mammalia, Artiodactyla, Physeteridae. The record is from RefSeq and is a predicted model, not a curated record.
GCUGAGAGUGGUACCAGCUGAGUUUGAGAAGAAUCGGAGCGGAAUGGCAGUUCCUCAAAGCCCGUGACGCGCUGGUCUCUACCCCAAUCCCAGAAGUAGUCAUCCAGUCAACACAAGUAUCAUUCACACAUGGAAAUAAAUGAAGACCACCUACGUGGGAGCAAUUUGCUAUGAGGAGGAAGACAAUUCUUGUCUGGUUGCCCUUGGGUCACAGCUCUUUAAGAUUGCAGAGGAUGGAAAAACCUGCUACUUCACGACCAUCUGUGACUGGAGGCUGUGUGGCUGGUGCUGCUCCAAAGAGUGGCGUCUCCUUUGUUUCUUGGAAUGUUAUACAAACACAGUGGAAGGAAAAAUGGACUCCUUUUUUAGCAAAUAUGCUCAAACCCUAAAAUUAAAUCAAGAAAUAUCUAAAUUCAGGAGAUAGCCAUUUAAACAAGAGAGUGGAUUAUUGCUCCAACUCAUGAAAUCUACUUAUACAUUAUCUGUUAAAUAAUAGCAUUACAGAGAUGUUAUUAGUAACCAUUGUGUUCCUUUUCUUCUACUCCCAUUUCUUUGCAAAGUAACUUAGAUGAGUGUUAAUUAUUAAAAUGGUCACAUUUUAGCCAAGUAACCAAGCCUUAGCUCUGCCUUUGAUAAAAUGCGUUGGAAGAACUUAACUCUUCCUAUUUAAAAUGCAGUAUCCGCAAAAGUAUAUUUUUGUGUGCGUUUGUCUAGAUUUCUUUUGCUCACUAAUGAAAUAGGAUAUAAAUUCUUUACCCCAUCUCUGUAAGUUUUAAACCAUGGGGGAAUGAACAAAUCUUGUGUGGUGGUAUUCAAGACCCUGAGGCCACUUAACACCUCUCCCCAAUAUAACAACCCCCUCCAAUUUGUUUAACUUCAGUGAGCCACGAAUUACCCUUAGAAACAUU